RNAcentral lists this ribosomal RNA (301 nucleotides) under uncultured bacterium. RNAcentral's name for it is "partial 16S ribosomal RNA". It matches the Rfam family "Bacterial small subunit ribosomal RNA", at positions 509 to 807 of the family's 1533-position model. The record is from RNAcentral.
CAGUAGCCGCGGUAAUACGAAGGGUGCAAGCGUUACUCGGAAUUACUGGGCGUAAAGCGUGCGUAGGUGGUGGUUUAAGUCCGUUGUGAAAGCCCUGGGCUCAACCUGGGAAUUGCAGUGGAUACUGGGUCACUAGAGUGUGGUAGAGGAUAGUGGAAUUUCCGGUGUAGCAGUGAAAUGCGUAGAGAUCGGAAGGAACAUCUGUGGCGAAGGCGACUAUCUGGGCCAUUACUGACACUGAGGCACGAAAGCGUGGGGAGCAAACAGGAUUAGAUACCCGCGUAGUCCCUGUCUCUUAUAC